AUGCUCAAACCAGUUCAGUCAGUAGAGCAUGAGAUUCUAAAUCUCAGGGUCGUGAGUUUGAGCCUGACAUUGCACA
Molecule: non-coding RNA, 76 nt
Organism: Podarcis lilfordi (Lilford's wall lizard)
Lineage: Eukaryota; Metazoa; Chordata; Lepidosauria; Squamata; Lacertidae
Source: the annotation of a GenBank genome assembly